GACGAACGAGGGAGGAGGGAGGAACACAUGCAAGUCGAACGGAAAGGCCCUGCUUUUGUGGGGUGCUCGAGUGGCGAACGGGUGAGUAACACGUGAGUAACCUGCCCUUGACUUUGGGAUAACUUCAGGAAACUGGGGCUAAUACCGGAUAGGAGCUCCUGCUGCAUGGUGGGGGUUGGAAAGUUUCGGCGGUUGGGGAUGGACUCGCGGCUUAUCAGCUUGUUGGUGGGGUAGUGGCUUACCAAGGCUUUGACGGGUAGCCGGCCUGAGAGGGUGACCGGCCACAUUGGGACUGAGAUACGGCCCAGACUCCUACGGGAGGCAGCAGUGGGGAAUAUUGCACAAUGGGCGGAAGCCUGAUGCAGCAACGCCGCGUGCGGGAUGACGGCCUUCGGGUUGUAAACCGCUUUCGCCUGUGACGAAGCGUGAGUGACGGUAAUGGGUAAAGAAGCACCGGCUCCCUACGUC
This 468-nucleotide ribosomal RNA is filed under the name uncultured bacterium. RNAcentral describes it as "partial 16S ribosomal RNA". It matches the Rfam family "Bacterial small subunit ribosomal RNA", at positions 28 to 507 of the family's 1533-position model. The record is from RNAcentral.